GAACGAAGCCUUCGGGCUUAGUGGCGCACGGGUGCGUAACGCGUGGGAAUCUGCCCUUGGGUUCGGAAUAACAGUUAGAAAUGACUGCUAAUACCGGAUGAUGUCUUCGGACCAAAGAUUUAUCGCCCAAGGAUGAGCCCGCGUAGGAUUAGGUAGUUGGUGGGGUAAAGGCCUACCAAGCCGACGAUCCUUAGCUGGUCUGAGAGGAUGAUCAGCCACACUGGGACUGAGACACGGCCCAGACUCCUACGGGAGGCAGCAGUGGGGAAUAUUGGACAAUGGGGGAAACCCUGAUCCAGCAAUGCCGCGUGAGUGAUGAAGGCCUUAGGGUCGUAAAGCUCUUUUACCCGGGAUGAUAAUGACAGUACCGGGAGAAUAAGCUCCGGCUAACUCCGUGCCAGCAGCCGCGGUAAUACGGAGGGAGCUAGCGUUGUUCGGAAUUACUGGGCGUAAAGCGCGCGUAGGCGGUUAUUCAAGUCAGAGGUGAAAGCCCGGGGCUCAACCCCGGAACUGCCUUUGAAACUAGAUGACUAGAAUCUUGGAGAGGUCAGUGGAAUUCCGAGUGUAGAGGUGAAAUUCGUAGAUCUUCGGAAGA
This 595-nucleotide ribosomal RNA is filed under the name uncultured Alphaproteobacteria bacterium. RNAcentral describes it as "bacterial SSU rRNA". It matches the Rfam family "Bacterial small subunit ribosomal RNA", at positions 64 to 705 of the family's 1533-position model. Lineage: Bacteria; Pseudomonadati; Pseudomonadota; Alphaproteobacteria. The record is from RNAcentral.